RNAcentral lists this long non-coding RNA (6437 nucleotides) under Cicer arietinum (chickpea). RNAcentral's name for it is "long non-coding RNA (CARI_LNC002256)". The record is from RNAcentral. Lineage: Eukaryota; Viridiplantae; Streptophyta; Magnoliopsida; Fabales; Fabaceae.
UCUUCAUGUAUGGUGUCACCUCUGCAGCAAGCUCCCAUUGAGGUAUAUCCUUCACAGUGGUUGGGGUUUUGAUUUCCCAGUUUCCACCACCCCAUUCAGGUCCUUUUGGAACCAUACUCUCAGCAGCAAAGUUGGCAAAUAUACCUUGUGUCCAUCCAGUAGAUCGAACUCGUAAUAUCCUUUCACAAUAUCGCCUCAAUUCUGAGUCAAGGCUGUCUUCUUCCAAUUUCUGAGCAAGACGCCGCAUGGCACUGGGAUUAAGGUGGCAUAUAAACAGAUCAAGCAUGCCUUCAUAGUCUGCUAUAACUUCAAAUGUUUCUUUUGCACUAUCAAAUUGACCAAACCUGCAAGUGAUAUUAAAUUACAAAAGUAACUACAAACUUGUAUUAUAUCAUAUUAAUAACUACAGUACCACUACAAACCACACAACAAAAGAUCAAUUGUAUGAGCUCCAAGUUCCAACACUAUAGUUGAUACAUGAGAGCUAUAAAUCAAUGAAAGGAAAAUAGUCGGUCAAAGCUGACUUGACCCAUUGUACCAUUGUACAUGGCGAGAAGCAUUGACAAUGAAAAUAUACAGAUUCAUUACAAAAUAUGAAGAGAAAUAUGAAGAUGAAUGUAUUAUUCAUUACAAAAAAUUAGGAGAAACACAGAUAACCAGAGCGAUGCUCCAACUCCCCCUCUAAAAUAAUCCUCUACUACAUGGUCCUCCCCAUAACAAACUGUCACCGGGUGCUAUGGUAGAGGAUCUAAUUAAUCACUUCUUGCAGGUUUUCCUUUUGAAGGUAUUAUUAGUAAUUGGAUCCCAAGAAGGUCCAUAGUCAUUGGCGCUUAUCUAUAAUUUUGGAAACCAUCAAGGCCAAGGUUGUGAUAUAGGUAUCGACAAGAGUGGAACAAUGUGAGAAGAAACUUUACUAUGAUUGCACACUCACUUAUGUCGUUGCAUUCUCACUCCACCCAAUAAUAGGUCACAAUCAUGGAAUUAACACACUUUUUAACACACUCUUUGAUUGGUUAUGUUAAAAUUCAAUGUAUGUUUUAAUUUAUUCCUUGAUUGUGCAACAUCCUAGGCUAAUUGUUAGUAGUCCUAGUCAAUACAAUUUCCUAGACAUUGAAUGUAAUUAUUGCAGCAUCAUUAUAAAUAGAAAGGAUGUGAUCUCAUUAGAGAAACAAGAAACAUAGACUUUACACAUAAAUUUACACAAACACUUCACCUAAUAUUUUACAUGGUAUCAGAGUAGCUUUUGAUUUUGUGACCUGUUUUUGUGCUUCACUACCACUGCCGACAAUACCACCUUUCAAUCUUUUAAUUUUUUGCCACAAACAGUUGUUCAUCAUCGUCAACUUCGGCAGCCCUACCCUGUCUUCUCUGCAUUUUCCAGCUGCGCCAUAACCAGAGUUUUUUUCCGUGUAGUUAUGUGCUUAUUUACACUGUUACAGCUGUGCUAACACAAGCUGCACUUUUUCCAAUGCGACCCACUGCCUAAAACCACCACAGACUGCUGCACAAUCCUCUGACGAACACAACGGUGCUCCUGGCGUUAACCGACACAGCACACGCCAUCACACGCAUCCACCUUCUCUACACGUGGGUGUCACAUCGCCAUCAAACCCACGCGUGCAUCUGUCUCUGUCCACCAUAUUUCAUUGCCAGUUGUUGCAAACUCCCCCUCAAACUAAAACUUACUACGCGCUAGUGGAUUGAUUUUUCAUCAACCUCUUAUCUUUCAAUUCCCCCUUCCGCAUUGUAUCUGCUGCUGUGAGAACUUAGUUUCGUGGACAAGGGACCAUUUGCUCAGACAAUCAUUUUAUUCCCACCGACGAUCAAUCCAGUGGUGACUCUAUCCGCACAUACGAAUCAAAUGAGUGGCGCCUUUUAUUCUAGCCGACGAUAAAUCUGGUGGUAACUCUAUUCCCACAUAUGAAUCAUAUUAGUGGCGCGUUUUAUUUCCACCGAUGACUCUUUUGCACUUGAAUUGUUAAUGGUGCCUUCUCUUCUCAAACUUGUCCAACAGUUGUCAACUUUAGCUUCAUUUUUUUUUUGGGAUAAAAUGUUUUGAUGUAACAAGCUUAAAGCAUAGUAUGCUUUAGCUUGACGAGAAGUGUUAAAAUUCCGUAUAUGUUCUAAUUAUUCCUUGAUUGUGCAACAUCCUAGGCUAAUUGUUAGUAGUCCUAGUCAAUACAAUUUCCUAGGCAUUGAAUGUAAUUAUUGCAGCAUCAUUAUAAAUAAGAAGGUGUGUGAUCUCACUAGAGACACAAAAAACACAAAAAUUUACACAUAAAUUACUCAUAUUUUACAAGUUAAAGUCCAAACGGGUCCCACCAAAUUCAUAUGAGGCCCACAUGAUAUAGUGGACUUAUGUGAAUUUAAACUAAUUAAAGAGUGUUAGAAAGUGUGUGUUACUAGAACUCCUCUAUGAUCUAUUGUAAGAUCCAACAGCCACUAAAAAAUUAAUAAAUAAAAACUACGAUUUUCUUGUCAAGUAUAAUAUAGUUAUAUAAUCUAAUGGUUGGUAUUAGAAAAUAAAACUUAAACAUAUUAAUGUAGACAUUAAAAGGUUUUGGAACAAGAAAUAGUUUAAGCAAAUAUGUAGUAAAAGGAACAUGCAUCAUAUGCAUAAUGACAUUUCCUAGUUUGUCUACCUGAUACACGCAUAAGCCAACUGCCUGAACCGGUGAAACAAAUGAGAUGUGGGAGGACAUCUUGGAUAAUCUCUGGAACGCAGAAAUUCAUCUUUCAGAACAGAUAAAGCAGUGGAAAAACGAAGAGCUUUCACAGCAUAGACACCUCGCAUCACCUGAGAUCAGAUUUUCAACAUGUUCAGUAGUUCAGAGAGUCCAAUGCAAAAUUAUUAAGACUGCAUCCAAAUGCUUACCUGGGUGAACUGUGGACCUGAUUGUGAUAAAGAGACAGCUAAAUCUCCACAAACCGGAGAUCCUCUUGCAAGGAUAUCCAGAGACCUUGGUGUUAUGCGCAAGCUGUCGAACCUUCAAUCGGAUACAAAUUUAAUGUGUCAAUCUUAUCAGCUUCAGUAUACAUUUAAUUAACUCUUCAAGACUAAAGCUGGACUUCUGCCCAAGGAAGCAAUUUGACGAGUAUGCUACCAGUUUGGUGCAAGUUGCAUAUUAUUUCCAAAUAUGGUGUAAAUUGAAUCUAGUUUGAUGCAAAUUGUGGCUGCAUUACACAACUUAGUUUUGGAUCUUGUUUAAUAACAAAUUGAAUCUAGUUUAAUAGUUUUUUAUUUAAGUGGUUGCCAAGAUACGUAUAAGAGAGGUAUUUUGUCAAUGAGCAUGAGUGGAUUGGCUUGUCGAUAGCAUGGAGUUACAUGGAGUGGUAUGAGUGACAAUAUAUCUUGUGAUUUAUGAGGAGCAUAUAUUUCCAAUUUAAAACUACGCAGUGAUUAGGUAGCCAAGAUUAUCAUAAUAUUAGGGGAAAAAGGACUUGUGGCCACAGGACACAACUAUAAAACUACAUAACAAGAAACCCAAACCAAAAGAAUGGCUCAUGGCCACUUUAUUCAUGUGGUAAUAUCAAAACGGAUCAUACCAACAUAAAAACACAUGUGUUUGAGUAAUGAAAGUGAACUAUGUCUCGCUAGGGCAGGGCAUGAUUUAUAACCUACGGGAAGAGUGACAACUGACAAGCUCACCAUUUAACUUCCAUUGUUGAAAGAGUUUGGAGCCUGGAGCUAACUCUACUCAUUUAUGGCAUAGGUAGAUGCCACCUCAACUCUAUCUAAUGAUUGAAAGCUUAAAAAAAGCACAACAUUAGUAAGAAAAUAUGUAAACAAAAAAGAGGUGAGCCAAAACUAAGCCGUAGCCACUCAAUAAAAUAUUUUUGUAAAAGAUAUAAGUUGCGUCAUACAGUCAUGAGACUUGCACUGAACACUGUUCAUUUACACCAUAUUGAGAAAUCUUUAACUUUCAGCAAACUAAGUAAUAUUCACAUCAAAUUGCAUCUGUUGGUAAAAUGGGCAUAAAAACUUCAGCUAUAGAACAAUAAAGUUGUAAUUUUCAGAUGAGGUCAAAUUUUGAAGGUAUAUAAGAAGGAAACCUCGACGUUAUUUGGUAUAAUAUUUCUGACAGAUCAAGCUUCUGCGCAAAACUUAUCUGCAUUGUGGCAAAUCCAAUCAGAAUAGGUUCAAGAAGACCAACAAGGCAGCUUUUGAUCUCUACCCCCUUCUUCUGUCUUGGAUUUAUUUCUGUAGGGCUAGCGAGCAACAAUCUGUCAUUCAAAGCCCCAACCAAGACUGGAAAAUAAAUUCAUAUAAAUAGAUUAGUAAGACAACAGAUGGAUAAGAUAUUAUGACAUCCUAGUAUGCAGCAAGAAAAUUACCUGCAUAUGGCAUAUUGAUUGAUAGGACAGGCCUCACUUUUCCAUCCCAACCAAGUAUACUGAUGGCAGUAGUAGUAGAGAAAAGAAGGGCAGGCCCAACCCACAAGAGAGAUCUAAAGUGAGCUCAAGUUAAGAUUUCAAAAAAGAGAAUAUAUGCAAUGCAAGAAAUUUAAUGCGAAUAAAUGGUUUCUUGAUAUCAAAAAGAUAAAAUUCAAAGGAUAUUGAAGGAAGUCCCUUAUCAAAAUUUGUAGAAGUUCCCGAAAGCAUAUCAAGUGUCGCCGAAACGAUAAGGACUCUGUGUGUUGUUAAAAUUCCAGCGACAUGUCCCCUUAGUGUUUCUUGCCAGUGCACCUGUCAAAUUUGAAGAAACAUGGAUUAAUAAAGUUAUGUAUUUUAGCUCCACAAACAAGGAGUCCUAUAACAAAUGUCUUUUGCCCGAGCCAUUAUCGAUGAAGGACUCUAAGGGACGAAGAAACAAGCUCUAAACAUAUUUGCUCCUUGUUGUUCCAAUUGGAAACAGCAGUAUUUAAAAUCUUACGUUCAUGUGUACACAUGUACAAUGAUUAUAACAUUCAUGCACUGAAGAAGUUGCACUUCAAUUAACUUUAUUUGUAAACACUUAGAAUUUGAGUUUGGGCUUAACUCAACACCAAAAUCUAGCACAUGGGGUGAAUGUUGUCCCCAACCUAUAACCACUAUUCAGGCCACAUCACUAUCCAAUGUGGGAAUACAACAUCCCUCCGACACUUGAGCGCAAGACUGGAAAGCGUGAAGUUUGCAAAACUCAGUGAUGUUAAAUAGCUGCUAUUGCAUAGCAGGAUUUGGGAAAAACACUACAAAAUCCGAUACGCUAUGACUGUUCCGCUACCACCACAAUAAUGGCAACUAUUCCCAUGGCGGCGAUGGCGGAAAAAAGGAGUUUUAUGGUUUUUUUUAAUGAAAACACUAAAAAAGAAGCAUGUGAACCACUUCAAAAAAAUUCAAAAAGAAUAACUGAAGAAAAGAGUUGUUGUGGAUUGACUCUAGUGAGUUCCUUCUCAUGUAACAGAGCUACGUUUUUUCGGUUUCUUUUUUCUUCUAUUCCUCGGUUUUUUUAUUUUUCCUUUUCAUUCACCUCUUUUUAUCAGUCUUAUUUUUGUUCAUCUCAUUUCUUUUAUUUUUUUCCUUUCUACUCUUUUAAGUUUUUUUGGAUUCUUUCAUCUAUCCUUCUUAUAUUUAUUUUUUUUCUAAUUAUUUCCUUUCCAUUCUCUUUCCCAAUUUAAUUUAUUUCUUCUCUUCCUCUGUGAUUCUUUCAGCCCUGUGUUUUUUUUUUAUUAUUUCAUCCCCUCUAGUUAAUGUUAUGUCACUUUUUCUUUUAAUUUAUGUUUAUGCAGCUUUUUUUUAUCUGUAUGCAUCAUUAAUUUAUUUAUAUAUAAUUGAUUUAUUUCAACUGUUAAACGGCUCAUGCUAUUUUCCAGCAACGCUAUCCGCUAUUUCUCAUAGCCGAUUUUUUGUUUUUCGCUAUUUUCCGCAAUCCUCUAUUGAUAACAUUGGCAAAAUUAGACAUUUGCAGGUGUUAGAAUGGAUUUUAUAGAUUUUGAUAGCAUCUAAGAAUUUGGGUUUGGGCAUGUCAACCCCAAAAUCUAGCGAAGUUGCCCUCCACUGAUACCCAUAUUCAAGCCAUAUCAUAUCAAUAUCAAAUGUGGGACUCCGACAUGAACAAAACAUGCGAUUAGUUAGAAGUGUAUAAUAAUUCAGCUGAGUGCUAAUCACAACAAAAACAUUUUGCCAAUGGAUUUAUAGAUUUUGAUAGCAUCUAAGAAUUUGGGUUUGGGCAUGUCAACCCCAAAAUCUAGCGAAGUUGCCCUCCACUGAUACCCAUAUUCAAGCCUAAAUACACACCAAUAUGAUCUACAAUAAUGGAUGGAAUCGUACCAUCAUCAGUCUUCAUGUAUGGUGUCACCUCUGCAGCAAGCUCCCAUUGAGGUAUAUCCUUCACAGUGGUUGGGGUUUUGAUUUCCCAGUUUCCACCACCCCAUUCAGGUCCUUUUGGAACCAUACUCUCAGCAGCAAAGUUGGCAAAUAUACCUUGUGUCCAUCCAGUAGAUCGAACUCGUAAUAUC